UACGUAGGGUGCAAGCGUUAAUCGGAAUUACUGGGCGUAAAGCGUGCGCAGGCGGCGCCGCAAGUCAGGCGUGAAAUCCCCGAGCUCAACUUGGGAAUUGCGCUUGAAACUACGGUGCUGGAGUGUGGCAGAGGAAGGUGGAAUUCCACGUGUAGCGGUGAAAUGCGUAGAGAUGUGGAGGAACACCGAUGGCGAAGGCAGCCUUCUGGGCCAACACUGACGCUCAUGCACGAAAGCGUGGGGAGCAAACAGG
RNAcentral lists this ribosomal RNA (253 nucleotides) under uncultured bacterium. RNAcentral's name for it is "partial 16S ribosomal RNA". It matches the Rfam family "Bacterial small subunit ribosomal RNA", at positions 524 to 776 of the family's 1533-position model. The record is from RNAcentral.